RNAcentral lists this ribosomal RNA (119 nucleotides) under Solanum lycopersicum (tomato). The record is from RNAcentral. Lineage: Eukaryota; Viridiplantae; Streptophyta; Magnoliopsida; Solanales; Solanaceae.
GAAUGCGAUCAUACCAGCACUAACGCACUAGAUACCAUCAGAAGUCCAAAGUUAAGCGUGCUUGGAGGAGAGAAGUACUAGGAUGAAUGACCCCUUGGGAUGUCCUCGUGUUGCAUCCC